GUGUCGUGUUGGUUCUAAAAUCAUUUUACGGGUUUAAUUAACCUAUUUAAAUAUUUUAUGAUUAUUAGAAAAUGGUGAUGGAAGACUAUCAGGAGUUUUGCAGGAGGUGUUUGUACAAAGUGAACGAGGAGAGUUCGUGCAGUGCAGAGUCCAGCCACAGGGGGGCGCCAUCUGCCAUUCAUUUCCAUGGCAGACCUGUACUACAGCCAAUGCUAAGCGAAGAGCAGCGUGUAGAAAUGGCUAAACAAAGGCAGAAAGCGAUGGAGAGAGAGAGCGAGAGACAUACACUGAGAACCAGCUCUCUGCUGGAACGAGCCCAGGACGUCCUCAACCACUUACAGGUGCAAAAUACGUCUCACUGUGAAGCAGAGCAGGGUGCUAUCGGCUCUCCUCCAGACCCUCAGGAUCUAAACCUCAGGAAAACAGUCGCUGAAGACCUGGCGCCCUGCAGGGUCUCCAGCGCUUGGCGAAGAGAGACCCUCAGACUUCUAAACAGUCGGAUGGAGAGAGUGGAGAAGAGUGGAGAAAAGACGAGUGAAACAAGAACACAGCCGAGCUAUUCUGGAGAUGCUUAUAAAGAUGGUGAGAAUAAAGCUGGAGAAGAUACCCUGUCUGAUAAGGAGAACGAGAGCCUCACACCAGAGCGCCCUCUUGUGGUGAAGUCUAGGAAUACCUCUAUUCGAUGUUCUGUUGAGUCAUGUGACUCUCCAUUGGGUAGUCUUUCGCUGUGUGCCAGUCUUACGGGUUCCUACGCCCAGUUGCCGAGCCCCCUGCCCAGCUGCAACCCCAUCACCCACCGCUUACGAAAACCAGCUCUGGCAUCUUCAAGCAACAUCCUCAUCUCAGUCCCUGUCACUGAACUGGAGCUCAACAAGACAAUGCCAGUCCAGUCUGAAUCCCAUGCUCCUGAUUAUCCUCCCCCUACUGGAGGAGACUGGAACUGCAGUUGCCCUGAGUUAGGCAGUCAAACGCCGCCUAUGGCUAAGACCUCCACCCCCACUGACCAUCAUAUCACCACAAGACCCACCACACCCAUAGAGACCAGCACACUGAACCACAGUUCCCCGUUCCAGCGUUCCCCACCAGCUCCACUCAACCAGUCCUACGAUGUGGAGAGUCCAGCUCCCAACAUCCUCAGGCCCCACGUCGGAUCAGGUUCCAGACCCUUUACUGCACCCCUCCAACGCAGACUGGAGUUCACAGGGAGACCACAGCUCUCCCCAGAGGACCAGAAGACCCAGGGGCAUAAAACCAGUAAUACACUUCAGGAUAGAGGUCAGUACCAAUCCCAUGCAUUUUAUCUCCCCUGCAGUCCUAUCAGAAUCUCUCAGAAGCUUCAUGAUAGCUUU
This 1349-nucleotide long non-coding RNA is filed under the name Astyanax mexicanus (Mexican tetra). RNAcentral describes it as "lncRNA (ENSAMXG00005001856.1)". Lineage: Eukaryota; Metazoa; Chordata; Actinopteri; Characiformes; Acestrorhamphidae. The record is from RNAcentral.